ACGCUCGACACCUACGGGCAGCAGUGGGGAAUAUUGCACAAUGGGGGAAACCCUGAUGCAGCGACGCCGCGUGAGCGAAGAAGUAUUUCGGUAUGUAAAGCUCUAUCAGCAGGGAAGAAACUGACGGUACCUGACUAAGAAGCACCGGCUAAAUACGUACCAGCAGCCGCGGUAAUCUGAGCGGGCUGGCAAGGC
This 195-nucleotide ribosomal RNA is filed under the name uncultured bacterium. RNAcentral's name for it is "partial 16S ribosomal RNA". It matches the Rfam family "Bacterial small subunit ribosomal RNA", at positions 326 to 539 of the family's 1533-position model. The record is from RNAcentral.